GACGAACGCUGGCGGCGUGCUUAACACAUGCAAGUCGAACGAAGUGGCGAACGGGUGAGUAACGCGUAAUCAACCUGCCCUUAAGAGGGGGACAACAGUUGGAAACGACUGCUAAUACCGCAUACUGAAGGAGGGGAAUGAGGCUGGUUAGCAGGGUGGAGGGGGAACGGCCCACCAAGGGGAUGAGCAGUAGCCUGUCUGUGAGGAUGAACGGCCACAUUGGGACUGAGACACGGCCCAGACUCCUACGGGAGGCAGCAGUGGGGAAUCUUCCGCAAUGGACGAAAGUCUGACGGCGCAACGCCUCGUGAGUGAUGACGGCCUUCGGGUUGUAAAGCUCUGUUAAUCGGGACGCGGUACCGGAAUAGAAAGCCACGGCUAACUACGUGCCAGCCGCCGCGGUAAUUC
Molecule: ribosomal RNA, 408 nt
Filed under: uncultured bacterium
Lineage: Bacteria
Description: partial 16S ribosomal RNA
Rfam family: Bacterial small subunit ribosomal RNA
Source: RNAcentral